RNAcentral lists this long non-coding RNA (573 nucleotides) under Homo sapiens (human). RNAcentral's name for it is "HSALNT0320623". Lineage: Eukaryota; Metazoa; Chordata; Mammalia; Primates; Hominidae. The record is from RNAcentral.
CAAUGGUGUAAUCUUUUUUUUUUUUUGAGACAGGGUCUAGAGUGCAGUGGCAUGAUCACGGCUCACUGCAACCUCCACCUUCUGGGUUGAAACGAUCCUUCCACCUCAGCCUCCUGAGUAGCUGGGACCACAGAUAUCAAAUCUACAAUCUCAUCUUCCAUCUUAAAGUAGAAAAAGAAGAACAAAGCCGGGUGUGGUGGCUCACACGUGUAAUCCCAGCACUUUCGGAGGCUGAGGUUUCUGAGCAAGAUGCUUGCAUGAAAGAUUCAAUCUAAGGCCAAUGCAAAAAUAUUGUGAAAGCAGCAGGAUCAGCUAGCCUUCCAGUUGGCUUCUUAAAUGCUGCAUUGAAAGGAUGAAACAGAACGGAUGUGAACAAGAGUUCCCUGAGAAAGGACAGCUCUUAGAGAGAUAGGAUAAUUACUGGACUCAAGAAGAUACCAAAUCAUGGUGUGCAUUUCUGCGUUGUGUUUGGAAGAGGAACUAGGAUUGUUAUGAAAAGGAAGGAUGUGUUCAACUUAGAAGAAUUAAACCUCAACCAUCUGUCUCUUCCAAAUGGCAUUCUUGAUUCUAAAA